UCACCGGAUCAUUCAAUCGGU
RNAcentral lists this non-coding RNA (21 nucleotides) under Arabidopsis thaliana (thale cress). Lineage: Eukaryota; Viridiplantae; Streptophyta; Magnoliopsida; Brassicales; Brassicaceae. The record is from RNAcentral.